GAUGAACGCUGGCGGCGUGCCUAAUACAUGCAAGUCGAGCGAACAGACGAGGAGCUUGCUCCUCUGACGUUAGCGGCGGACGGGUGAGUAACACGUGGAUAACCUACCUAUCAGACUGGGAUAACUUCGGGAAACCGGAGCUAAUACCGGAUAAUAUAUUGAACCGCAUGGUUCAAUAGUGAAAGACGGUUUUGCUGUCACUUAUAGCUGGAUCCGCGCCGCAUUAGCUAGUUGGUAAGGUAACGGCUUACCAAGGCAACGAUGCGUAGCCGACCUGAGAGGGUGAUCGGCCACACUGGAGCGGGGACGCGGACCAGGCGCCUGCGGGAGGCAGCAGUAGGGAAUCUUCCGCAGUGGGCGAAAGCAUGACGGAGCAACGCCGCGUGAGUGAUGAAGGUCUUCGGAUCGUAAAACUCUGUUAUUAGGGAAGAACAAAUGUGUAAGUAACUAUGCACGUCGUGACGGUACCUAAUCAGAAAGCCACGGCUAACUACGUG
This 497-nucleotide ribosomal RNA is filed under the name uncultured bacterium. Its description in RNAcentral is "partial 16S ribosomal RNA". It matches the Rfam family "Bacterial small subunit ribosomal RNA", at positions 28 to 507 of the family's 1533-position model. The record is from RNAcentral.